UACGUAGGGAGCUAGCGUUGUCCGGAAUCAUUGGGCGUAAAGCGCGCGUAGGCGGCCCGGUAAGUCCGCUGUGAAAGUCAAAGGCUCAACCUUUGAAUGUCAGCGGAUACUGCCGGGCUAGAGUCCGGAAGAGGCGAGUGGAAUUCCUGGUGUAGCGGUGAAAUGCGCAGAUAUCAGGAGGAACACCGGUGGCGAAGGCGGGUCUCUGGACAGUUCCUGACGCUGAGGCACGAAGGUCAGGGGAGCAAACGGG
This 253-nucleotide ribosomal RNA is filed under the name uncultured bacterium. Its description in RNAcentral is "partial 16S ribosomal RNA". It matches the Rfam family "Bacterial small subunit ribosomal RNA", at positions 524 to 776 of the family's 1533-position model. The record is from RNAcentral.